RNAcentral lists this ribosomal RNA (1044 nucleotides) under Flavobacterium sp. Its description in RNAcentral is "bacterial SSU rRNA". It matches the Rfam family "Bacterial small subunit ribosomal RNA", at positions 61 to 1114 of the family's 1533-position model. Lineage: Bacteria; Pseudomonadati; Bacteroidota; Flavobacteriia; Flavobacteriales; Flavobacteriaceae. The record is from RNAcentral.
GUCGAGGGGUAUGCUUCUUCGGGAGCAGAGACCGGCGCACGGGUGCGUAACGCGUAUGCAAUCUACCUUUUACAGAGGGAUAGCCCAGAGAAAUUUGGAUUAAUACCUCAUAGUAUAAUAGCUCGGCAUCGAGCAAUUAUUAAAGUCACAACGGUAAAAGAUGAGCAUGCGUCCCAUUAGCUAGUUGGUAAGGUAACGGCUUACCAAGGCUACGAUGGGUAGGGGUCCUGAGAGGGAGAUCCCCCACACUGGUACUGAGACACGGACCAGACUCCUACGGGAGGCAGCAGUGAGGAAUAUUGGACAAUGGGCGCAAGCCUGAUCCAGCCAUGCCGCGUGCAGGAUGACGGUCCUAUGGAUUGUAAACUGCUUUUGUACAGGAAGAAACAGUUCUACGUGUAGAACCUUGACGGUACUGUAAGAAUAAGGAUCGGCUAACUCCGUGCCAGCAGCCGCGGUAAUACGGAGGAUCCAAGCGUUAUCCGGAAUCAUUGGGUUUAAAGGGUCCGUAGGCGGUUUAAUAAGUCAGUGGUGAAAGCCCAUCGCUCAACGGUGGAACGGCCAUUGAUACUGUUAAACUUGAAUUAUUAGGAAGUAACUAGAAUAUGUAGUGUAGCGGUGAAAUGCUUAGAGAUUACAUGGAAUACCAAUUGCGAAGGCAGGUUACUACUAAUUGAUUGACGCUGAUGGACGAAAGCGUGGGUAGCGAACAGGAUUAGAUACCCUGGUAGUCCACGCCGUAAACGAUGGAUACUAGCUGUUGGGAGCAAUUUCAGUGGCUAAGCGAAAGUGAUAAGUAUCCCACCUGGGGAGUACGUUCGCAAGAAUGAAACUCAAAGGAAUUGACGGGGGCCCGCACAAGCGGUGGAGCAUGUGGUUUAAUUCGAUGAUACGCGAGGAACCUUACCAAGGCUUAAAUGUAGAUUGACCGGUUUGGAAACAGAUCUUUCGCAAGACAAUUUACAAGGUGCUGCAUGGUUGUCGUCAGCUCGUGCCGUGAGGUGUCAGGUUAAGUCCUAUAACGAGCGCAACCCCUGUUGUUAG